RNAcentral lists this ribosomal RNA (497 nucleotides) under uncultured bacterium. RNAcentral's name for it is "partial 16S ribosomal RNA". It matches the Rfam family "Bacterial small subunit ribosomal RNA", at positions 28 to 507 of the family's 1533-position model. The record is from RNAcentral.
GAUGAACGCUGGCGGCGUGCCUAAUACAUGCAAGUCGAGCGAACGGUCGGGAAGCUUGCUCCCCUGAUGUUAGCGCCGGACGGGUGAGUAACACGUGGAUAACCUACCUAUAAGACUGGGAUAACUUCGGGAAACCGGAGCUACUACCGGAUGAUUUAUCGAACCGCAUGGUUCAAAAGUGAAAGACGGUCUUGCUGUCACUUAUAGCUGGCUCCGCGCUGCAUUAGCUAGUUGGUAAGGUAACGGCUUACCAAGGCAACUAUGCAUAGCCGACCGGAGAGGUUGAUCGGCCACACGGGAACUGAGACACGGUCCAGACUCUGACGGGAGGCAGCAGUAGGGAAGCUUCCGCAAUGGGCGAAAGCCUGACGGAGCAACGCCGCGUGAGUGAUGAAGGUCUUCGGAUCGUAAAACUCUGUUAUUAGGGAAGAACAUAUGUGUAAGUAACUGUGCACAUCUUGACGGUACCUAAUCAGAAAGCCACGGCUAACUACGUG